Molecule: ribosomal RNA, 120 nt
Filed under: uncultured bacterium
Lineage: Bacteria
Description: partial 16S ribosomal RNA
Rfam family: Bacterial small subunit ribosomal RNA
Source: RNAcentral
GAUGAACGCUAGCGGGAGGCUUAAUACAUGCAAGUCGAGGGAGAAUUCCGAUUUCGGUUGGAAGGAAACCGGCGCACGGGUGAGUAACACGUACACAACUUGCCCCUAACUGGGAGAUAG